RNAcentral lists this ribosomal RNA (728 nucleotides) under uncultured Pseudomonadota bacterium. RNAcentral's name for it is "bacterial SSU rRNA". It matches the Rfam family "Bacterial small subunit ribosomal RNA", at positions 65 to 838 of the family's 1533-position model. Lineage: Bacteria; Pseudomonadati; Pseudomonadota. The record is from RNAcentral.
AGCGGGCGUAGCAAUACGUCAGCGGCAGACGGGUGAGUAACGCGUGGGAACAUACCUUUUGGUUCGGAACAACACAGGGAAACUUGUGCUAAUACCGGAUAAGCCCUUACGGGGAAAGAUUUAUCGCCGAAAGAUUGGCCCGCGUCUGAUUAGCUAGUUGGUGAGGUAAUGGCUCACCAAGGCGACGAUCAGUAGCUGGUCUGAGAGGAUGAUCAGCCACAUUGGGACUGAGACACGGCCCAAACUCCUACGGGAGGCAGCAGUGGGGAAUAUUGGACAAUGGGCGCAAGCCUGAUCCAGCCAUGCCGCGUGAGUGAUGAAGGCCUUAGGGUUGUAAAGCUCUUUUAGCGGGGAAGAUAAUGACGGUACCCGCAGAAAAAGCCCCGGCUAACUUCGUGCCAGCAGCCGCGGUAAUACGAAGGGGGCUAGCGUUGCUCGGAAUCACUGGGCGUAAAGCGCACGUAGGCGGCUUCUUAAGUCAGGGGUGAAAUCCUGGAGCUCAACUCCAGAACUGCCUUUGAUACUGAGGAGCUUGAGUCCGGGAGAGGUGAGUGGAACUGCGAGUGUAGAGGUGAAAUUCGUAGAUAUUCGCAAGAACACCAGUGGCGAAGGCGGCUCACUGGCCCGGUACUGACGCUGAGGUGCGAAAGCGUGGGGAGCAAACAGGAUUAGAUACCCUGGUAGUCCACGCCGUAAACGAUGGAUGCUAGCCGUUGGCGAGCUUGCUC